Molecule: ribosomal RNA, 507 nt
Filed under: uncultured Glomeromycotina
Lineage: Eukaryota; Fungi; Glomeromycota
Description: partial small subunit ribosomal RNA
Rfam family: Eukaryotic small subunit ribosomal RNA
Source: RNAcentral
CCAAUAGCGUAUAUUAAGGUUGCUGCGGUUAAAAAGCUCGUAGUUGAAUUUUGGGAUUGGCACAUCAGUCGUGUCUUAAGGGGCAUGAACUAGCGUAGCCAAUUCCUCACCUUCUGGUGAAUUGGGAUGCCUCUUUAACUGGGUGUUUCAAUGAACUAGGACUUUUACUUUGAAAAAAUUAGAGUGUUUAAAGCAGGCAUUAUUUGCUUGAAUACAUUAGCAUGGAAUAAUAAAAUAGGACGAUGAUUCUAUUUUGUUGGUUUCUAGGAUCACCGUAAUGAUUAAUAGGAAUAGUUGGGGGCAUUAGUAUUCAAUUGUCAGAGGUGAAAUUCUUGGAUUAAUUGAAGACUAACUACUGCGAAAGCAUUUGCCAAGGAUGUUUUCAUUAAUCAAGAACGAAAGUUAGGGGAUCAAAGACGAUUAGGUACGUCGUAGUCUUAACCAUAAACUAUGCCGACUAGGAAUCAGACGAUGUUGAUUUUUUAAUGACUCGUUUGGCACCUUACG